Long non-coding RNA from Anser brachyrhynchus (Pink-footed goose), 2712 nucleotides. The record is from Ensembl. Lineage: Eukaryota; Metazoa; Chordata; Aves; Anseriformes; Anatidae.
CCACCUUCCUGUUUUCUGCCCAGUGGAGCCUCCAGAGAGGUGCGUGUUUAACCAUAGGCACCUAACUGAGCUCAGAGAAAUGGACAGUCAGACUAAGGGGGGAUAUUCUGUUGUUGCAAGUUUUACUUAAAAUACAGGCUGCCACCUCCAGCUCUGUUCCCAAGGUUGUUCCUGGGCUACAAGCCAUUGUGUGGAAAGGCUUUGAAGAUCUGGAAUUCAGCUGUAAUGGGUGUGAUUAGUUUAUCUCCCUCCAUAUUUAUGCAGUUUUUUAAAGCAACAGAUAAAACUAGCUUAAGAACAAAUGGUUAUAAACAGAUUGUGGGCUUGGGCUGGAAGAGAGAAGGGGGAGAAGAUGGAUAAGAGUUUUUGUUUUUCUGGCUAGAAUAGUGGGACAAGAAAUUAAAUCAUCCUUGAGAUGGACAUGGAUUAGUUUUCCAGUUGCCUGUGUGGCACUAGAUGAUCUGGCUGACUGCUUUUGCAAGGGGAAAAGACUUGCUGGUGAAGUCUUGUAUUUUGUCCCAUGUAAGUCUGAUGCCAGACCCUAAAACAAAAUUGCUUGUUCUUCUGCAGCAUUGGUAAUUCCAGUGGUGGUUUUUGCUUAUGUAGCUGGUAGAUACUGCUACAUAUCUUCUGCAAAAGACCAGGUCUGUUCUGAAACCUUUUUUCUCUUUAGAUGUAUUAAGUGGCACUGUUGGGAAGAAGCCCAAGUUUUACAGUCAGGAAACAAAACACUUGUUCUCUGGUGCUCCCUGUACACCAAAGAAACUAUUUGAUUCAGUCGAGAAGAAAGAAGAGAUGCAAACAGAUCAGGAAAUGGAUGAUGAGGAUGAUGUAUUUUAUUCUGAGAUACAUCAUGAAGAUAUUGCUGCCUCAGGAGUGAUUACUGCAUUUGAAAGCUUCAUCAGCCAACGAAAGAAACUGUUCUGGGUAAUGUGCGCUCUCUUAACGUGUACACCAUGGGUGAAAUUUUCUCGUAAACACAACUGCCUUUCAACAAUCGGUGCAAAUAUCCAAUCUAUAUUUUAUGCCCAAGAGUUUUGGCUGCAGUGUCUGUUAGCCUGGAGCUCUUCUAAGUGUUUUGCACAGCCCCUGUGCUCUCAGAAGUCCUAGAGGAAGGGCAAGGAGUGACUCUUAAGGGAAGCUUCAAUUAGGUUCUUCCUUUUUUCUCAUUUUUGUGUUGGAACGUAAGACUUGUUUAGGUGUUUAAAAUACUUUCAUUAGAAGGAAUGGAUUUUUUUUGAAGACUAACUCAGCAUAGUGGCAGCACACCUAAAUUGUAGCCAUUGGUAUUUGUUCUCUUGGGGCAAAUAUCAGGCAUAGGAAAACUUAAUUUUGGAUCACAGAGUUUAUUAUCUCAGCAUAAAAACUACAGAGGUUUUUUAUAAUGGAAAAGGAGAAAGCAAUGCAGGCUGCACUGAUUGACUACAACAUGUGGAUCCAUAAGGGCAUGCUGGUUCCCUCCAGAUUAGUGGUUUGCUGGUGGUGGUUUCACAGUUAGUAGUAUUGGUGAUUAUUGUUGGCUUGCUCCACAGUCUAGACAUACCUGACAUGUAGCGUGUGUAAUUGUUACUGUUGACUGAGCUGUAACAUGUCAGCAUUAAACCAAGCUUAAUAUGAGAGGACAAUAUCUGGCCCAUCAUGAAUCUUGUAUGUUUUAAAAGCUUUAAACAAACCAGAUGUGUCAGAGCACACCUUAUACUGGGCUGAUGCUCUGUAUCAUGCAACAGUGAUUUAUUUUUUUUGAGUUCGCAUUAGGUUCUAACGCUUAAUUUCUGGUACUAGCCAUUGAGUCGAGGCUGAAGGUGGCUGCACUUACAAGUCAGUUAUGAUGAAAAUACACAUAGUUUGUAUUCAUGCUGAAGUGGUGCUAACAAAGACCUGACUUUGUGCAGCUGCUAAGUGUGUCAGAGUUUAGUGAAGUUCACUGUUUUGCUGGCUGGCUAGCAGGAUCCUGACCUGAAAUCACAUGGGUUACACAGAUCUGUUGGUGUGAGUAGUGUGGCUGAACAAAACCAGUUCAUGCUCACAGCAUUUUGCCUGUGUUGCUAUCUCCCUUUAAAGUGCUGCUUGCUAUCUCCCUCUAGUUUAACUCUGACUUAGGAUGGUUUCAGCUGAGCGCGCCCCACAGGGCAGUGUGUGCUCCAGGGAAAUGCUUUGCAAACUGGAUUUUUAGGUUUGGGGUUGGGCUGUUGCCUGUCCCUGAUGGUGCAUCCUGUGGUUAGUCCAGGUACAAAAAGAUGGAGAUGCGUGCCCAGAACGCACUGAGGGCUUCUGAGGAGACCAUGUCUAUCCUGCUGAACCAGAUACAUGAGCGCAGGUGAGCUGUCUGCUGCUGGCUGAAAACAGCUUUAGCUCCAUGUGAAUUCUGAUUGGUAUGAAAUAGAAAUGCCUCUUUGUAGCAGAGCCUGACCUUCACAGCUUUUAAGGCAGAAAAGGUUGUUUGUGCCUCUAACUGUUCUGUAAGUGGAGUUUCAGAUGUGUAGCUCCGGUGUUCUGUCCCGCUCCUCUUGUAAGAGCAGAGAGUUAAUACAAAGAAGGCUUGAGUUAGGAGUGGCUGAUUUAGACAGUCUAAAGAGUGCUUCUUGCUGUCGUCAUUGUUUGCAAAUCUGUUAAAAAUCCUCUUGGUACACUUAGUAGCUUCUGUUGCUGUGUUUUUAAGAGUGAACAAACAAGCCAGGCUGACUUUAUUAGUGAACUGGGUGAGAAUAAAAG